RNAcentral lists this unclassified non-coding RNA (2027 nucleotides) under Leishmania donovani. RNAcentral's name for it is "gene:LdHU3.29.3540(CDS-product:Acyltransferase_pu tative)". Lineage: Eukaryota; Euglenozoa; Kinetoplastea; Trypanosomatida; Trypanosomatidae. The record is from RNAcentral.
CCGCCUCCACACGCACGCAUUCGUCAACGUAUAUCGUUUGCCCCAGGCCCCACGGCGCUUUGUUGGCGCCUCUGCACGAACGCACUCGCCCCCCGUUCCCUCCCUACAACACCAACAUACAAAACGAAACGAAGAAAGGAGGACAGUGCCAUUUUUUUGUUGUUGGUGUUCUACAAACGCUUCCAUUCCGCGGCCUUUUCCCGCGGUCGUCCCUCCUUUCAGAUUGUCUCCCUUCCUUUUUUUUAUUUCCUUGCUGAGCGAUUAGCCCUCCACGACUGCCGCACGAGGGAAUGAGUCUCCUCUCGUGGAUUAUCUUCGCCGCCCUCUACGGCGGUUUCCUUUGCCUGCUACGUGAGCGUAAGGUGCCUCUCAUUGUGAUGCGGGCGUGGUAUACAUUUCACCUGGUGCUGUGUGUGAUCAUAAGCUGGCUUUGCGGUGUGGCGCUCAGCCUGCUGAAGAAGGUACACCUCUUGGACACGGAAACAUCGCAGUCGCUGACGCGGUGUGUGUGCGCCACCACGUUCGGGUACUGGCUGCGCUUCAACAGUCCGCACAUCCGUGUGGAGCACUUGCCCGGCUCUCUGUCGUUUUCGUCGAUCACGGAGCAGCAUAACAUGUGCUUGUGCCACUCGAGUUUCUUUGACACGAUUCUGUUCUUGUGGUAUGUUCCGUACCGCUACAUCUACAAGGUGAAGACCUUUUUCAAAGCAAGCCUGCGCAAGCUUCCCCUGUUUGGCACCGUGAUUGUCAUGUGCGGCCACUUCCCUGUCUACUUCAGCUCCACGGACGCCGACUCGUUCUCAGUGCACAAGGACAAGCAGGCUGCCGUCGCCGCCGACGUCGAGAACUGGGUGAAGAAGGGUAAGAGCCUUUGCUUCUACCCGGAGGGCAUGGUGAACCGCACACCGGAGGUGCUCAAGGACUUCCGACUCGGCAGCUUCAAAACGAUCCUGGCGCACCAGAUGCCCUUGUAUUACUGCGUCAGCUACGGCAACCACGAGGUAUGGCCGCCGUCCUUGAAGGGCUUGCCGGGUUACCCGGCGGAUGUGUACGUGUACAUCGGCAAGUACCAGUACCCCGCGGACAAGGUGGAUGCACUGGAACUCGCGACGGGGCUGCGCGAGGAGAUGCAGAAGCACAUGGACGAGAUGUUGGCGCUGCGGGAAAAGCGGGGGCACAAACCCUGGUGGAAGCGGCCCACCGCAAAAGCCUAGGCGUAGUGUGCAUGCGCGCACAUAGCAGACCGAGGACAAGUAAGUGUUCGAGGCAACGAUGGGAACACCCAAGUGAGUCGUUCACGACGAUACGUCAGGGCAGGCAGACGCUGUUCGGUGAUGCUUGCUCACACAGAUGUAAACAUACGCACACCCACUCUCAGGUGCUCGGCACGGGUUGUCCGCAAGGGGCGCGUGUGCACACCCUCCGCCAGAGAUCGUCGAACUGGAAAGCUGUGAAGGGGAACAGACACACACACACACACACACACACACACACACACACCAGCAUACACAAGCGCAGGCACUGGCGACUGCGAUAGAGUGAGGGGGCCUGCCGUUGCCGUCAAGAGCGAACACGAGCCUUCCAUCGAAUGGCUUCUCUCUGCUUUGCCACUCCACGACGUCUACUGCACACUCACCUCUACCAGUGGGGAGGGGGCGCUUCCACCUCGCCUUGUCACUUCAUUGCGCUGCGUUAGCGAAGGUCUUGUUGCGCCCUUUCGGCUUCCAAUGUUACAUUCAUAAUCAUCUUUUACACGGAUUGAGAUCAUCUCGCCAGCACAAUUCGUGCUCGCAGUACUUGUCUUUCUCCUUCCUUAUUUUCUUGGCCUCCUCCCCCCUAACUCGCUUUUCUUGUCGUUAUGCUAUGGCGGAGAACGGUUUAUGACAGCUCAGGAGAGGAGGGCUUCGGACAGCGAGUUUGGGAAGAGAGCGAAGAGAAUGGCGUACAUGACGCCCUAGCUAGAUUUGUGAGACUGGACCAAUGCGCAACGCAUCAUCACCUCCUGCUUUUGUCGUUGUAGCGUUAUC